AGCGGACAGAUGGGAGCUUGCUCCCUGAUGUUAGCGGCGGACGGGUGAGUAACACGUGGGUAACCUGCCUGUAAGACUGGGAUAACUCCGGGAAACCGGGGCUAAUACCGGAUGGUUGUUUGAACCGCAUGGUUCAAACAUAAAAGGUGGCUUCGGCUACCACUUACAGAUGGACCCGCGGCGCAUUAGCUAGUUGGUGAGGUAAGGGCUCACCAAGGCAACGAUGCGUAGCCGACCUGAGAGGGUGAUCGGCCACACUGGGACUGAGACACGGCCCAGACUCCUACGGGAGGCAGCAGUAGGGAAUCUUCCGCAAUGGACGAAAGUCUGACGGAGCAACGCCGCGUGAGUGAUGAAGGUUUUCGGAUCGUAAAGCUCUGUUGUUAGGGAAGAACAAGUACCGUUCGAAUAGGGCGGUACCUUGACGGUACCUAACCAGAAAGCCACGGCUAACUACGUGCCAGCAGCCGCGGUAAUACGUAGGUGGCAAGCGUUGUCCGGAAUUAUUGGGCGUAAAGGGCUCGCAGGCGGUUUCUUAAGUCUGAUGUGAAAGCCCCCGGCUCAACCGGGGAGGGUCAUUGGAAACUGGGGAACUUGAGUGCAGAAGAGGAGAGUGGAAUUCCACGUGUAGCGGUGAAAUGCGUAGAGAUGUGGAGGAACACCAGUGGCGAAGGCGACUCUCUGGUCUGUAACUGACGCUGAGGAGCGAAAGCGUGGGGAGCGAACAGGAUUAGAUACCCUGGUAGUCCACGCCGUAAACGAUGAGUGCUAAGUGUUAGGGGGUUUCCGCCCCUUAGUGCUGCAGCUAACGCAUUAAGCACUCCGCCUGGGGAGUAC
RNAcentral lists this ribosomal RNA (837 nucleotides) under Bacillus tequilensis. RNAcentral's name for it is "bacterial SSU rRNA". It matches the Rfam family "Bacterial small subunit ribosomal RNA", at positions 65 to 883 of the family's 1533-position model. The record is from RNAcentral. Lineage: Bacteria; Bacillati; Bacillota; Bacilli; Caryophanales; Bacillaceae.